AUUGAACGCUGGCGGCAGGCCUAACACAUGCAAGUCGAGCGAGCGGCGGACGGGUGAGUAAUGUAUGGGGACUGCCCGAUAGAGGGGGAUAACUACUGGAAACGGUGGCUAAUACCGCGUACGGUCGGAUAACCCAUAUGGGGUUAGCUAGUGGGGAAGGUAAUGGCUUACCUAGGCGACGAUCCCUAGCUGGGCUGAGAGGAUGAGCAGCCACACUGGGACUGAGACACGGCCCAGACUCCUACGGAGGCAGCAGUGGGGAAUAUUGCACAAUGGGCGCAAGCCUGAUGCAGCCAUGCCGCGUGUAUGAAGAAGGCCCUAGGGUUGUAAAGUACUUUCAGUCGGGAGGCGUUACCGACAGAAGAAGCACCGGCUAACUCCGUGCCAGCAGCCGCGGUAAUUC
This 403-nucleotide ribosomal RNA is filed under the name uncultured bacterium. RNAcentral's name for it is "partial 16S ribosomal RNA". It matches the Rfam family "Bacterial small subunit ribosomal RNA", at positions 30 to 526 of the family's 1533-position model. The record is from RNAcentral.